AGCGAACGCUGGCGGCAGGCCUAACACAUGCAAGUCGAACGAACUCUUCGGAGUAGUGGCGGACGGGUGAGUAACACGUGGGAACGUGCCUUUUGGUUCGGAAUAACUCAGGGAAACUUGUGCUAAUACCGAAUGUGCCCUUCGGGGGAAAGAUUUAUCGCCAUUAGAGCGGCCCGCGUCUGAUUAGCUAGUUGGUGAGGUAACGGCUCACCAAGGCGACGAUCAGUAGCUGGUCUGAGAGGAUGACCAGCCACACUGGGACUGAGACACGGCCCAGACUCCUACGGGAGGCAGCAGUGGGGAAUCUUGCGCAAUGGGCGAAAGCCUGACGCAGCCAUGCCGCGUGAAUGAUGAAGGUCUUAGGAUUGUAAAAUUCUUUCACCGGGGACGAUAAUGACGGUACCCGGAGAAGAAGCCCCGGCUAACUUCGUG
Molecule: ribosomal RNA, 432 nt
Filed under: uncultured bacterium
Lineage: Bacteria
Description: partial 16S ribosomal RNA
Rfam family: Bacterial small subunit ribosomal RNA
Source: RNAcentral